Molecule: ribosomal RNA, 456 nt
Filed under: uncultured bacterium
Lineage: Bacteria
Description: bacterial SSU rRNA
Rfam family: Bacterial small subunit ribosomal RNA
Source: RNAcentral
GCACAAGCGGUGGAGCAUGUGGUUUAAUUCGACGCAACGCGAAGAACCUUACCUGGGCUCGAAAUGGAGUGGACAGGAGUAGAAAUAUUCCCUCCCCGCAAGGGGCUGCUCUAUAGGUGCUGCAUGGCUGUCGUCAGCUCGUGUCGUGAGAUGUUGGGUUAAGUCCCGCAACGAGCGCAACCCUUAUUACCAGUUGCCAUCAUUAAGUUGGGCACUCAGGUGAGACCGCCUCGGAUAACGGGGAGGAAGGCGGGGAUGACGUCAAGUCCUCAUGGCCUUUAUGUCCAGGGCUACACACGUGCUACAAUGGCCGGUACAAACCGUCGCAAACCCGUGAGGGGGAGCUAAUCGGAAAAAGCCGGCCUCAGUUCGGAUUGUAGUCUGCAACUCGACUACAUGAAGCUGGAAUCGCUAGUAAUCGCGGAUCAGAAUGCCGCGGUGAAUACGUUCCCGGGC